GUCGAACGGUAGCAGGAAGUGCUUGCACUUUGCUGACGAGUGGCGGACGGGUGAGUAAUACUUAGGAACAUGCCUUUGUGUGGGGGAUAACCAUUGGAAACGAUGGCUAAUACCGCAUAAUGUCUUUGGACCAAAGAGGGCUUUCGGGCUCUCGCGCAAAGAGUGGCCUAAGUGAGAUUAGCUUGUUGGUGAGGUAAAGGCUCACCAAGGCGACGAUCUCUAGCUGUUCUGAGAGGAAGAUCAGCCACACUGGGACUGAGACACGGCCCAGACUCCUACGGGAGGCAGCAGUGGGGAAUAUUGCACAAUGGGGGCAACCCUGAUGCAGCCAUGCCGCGUGUGUGAAGAAGGCCUUCGGGUUGUAAAGCACUUUCAGUUGUGAGGAAAGGUUGGUGGUUAAUACCCAUCAGCUGUGACGUUAGCAACAGAAGAAGCACCGGCUAACUCCGUGCCAGCAGCCGCGGUAAUACGGAGGGUGCGAGCGUUAAUCGGAAUUACUGGGCGUAAAGCGCACGCAGGCGGUUAUAUAAGCUAGAUGUGAAAGCCCCGGGCUCAACCUGGGAAUAGCAUUUAGAACUGUAUGACUAGAGUCUUGGAGAGGGGGGUGGAAUUCCAGGUGUAGCG
Molecule: ribosomal RNA, 624 nt
Filed under: uncultured bacterium
Lineage: Bacteria
Description: bacterial SSU rRNA
Rfam family: Bacterial small subunit ribosomal RNA
Source: RNAcentral